UCUCUUCGCUUGAUGGAGUAUUUGAAGAACGAUAGCAGCGGUAUCUCUUGUCUUCAAGUCUCGAGAAUCUUGCUGUUCUAUCCUUUUUACGUUGAUUACUUCGUUUUUUUGUCGUACUCAUUUGUCUUUUUUAGAGUUCUUGUGUGAUUUUGAUUGUUUUUAGGGUUUUUCGGUAAGGGUUUUGGGAUUCUUUAAAGCCGAAGUAGGAUUCUUUGAUGCUUCCUCUUAGGGAUUGAAGGAUUAGGGUUUUGAUGAUGGAGGAGGGUUCGAGAUAGCGUUUGCGAGGAGUUCAAGGGUUUUGAAGAUGUGGUAGUGGUUCCCAUGAUUUAUAAUAGCACAAAAGUGUUAAUAAAUCGAAACUGAAGGUUUGGAUGCAUCGGACUGGACUUUGUAGCUACUUUCUAUCCAGUUUUUCUGUUAAGAAUAAUCAUCGGAGAAGCAAUGAUACCAUUCCAAUGGAUAAUUUAUCUUCAUGAAGUUGGACCUUAGCGCAACUCAUGCACCAAAUGCAAGUUUGAGUGGAUUAAUGGUUUUAUCUAGACCAGUCGUCAAAAGCUUGAUCAAAUUAUUUUAAGACGAUGGUUCAUAUGCAUACUAUAUUGCACUAUGAUUGUAUUUGGUUUUUCACUAUUCAAAGAUUGUUCGGGGGUUUAAUUAGUCCCAGAUAUGCGUAUGGAUACCAGUUUCUGUGUGUACUUUUGACUUGCACUCUUAGUGGUACCUUCAUGAACAUUGUGUAAUUUUUUUUCAGCAAACAUUCUUUGUUUUUCUCAUCCGAAGAUUUUGGGUGUAAUUAUUUUUUCCCCCCUCCGAAGCUUACCAGCCAUUUCUGUAAGGAUCUUUCAUGAUUGUGUAUACUUCAUAGCUUAUGGUUUGAGAUGGACCAUCUUUCCUCUUAUGAGCUCUUGAUAAAUUUGUAUUUAACUUCUGGAGAUACAAGUAAUUCAUAAAUUAAAGCAACUCAUUGUGGU
Elaeis guineensis (African oil palm) is the source of this 971-nucleotide non-coding RNA. The record is from RefSeq and is a predicted model, not a curated record. Lineage: Eukaryota; Viridiplantae; Streptophyta; Magnoliopsida; Arecales; Arecaceae.